GGUGAAGCUUUUUAGGUGAAGCUUUGUGGGUGAAGCUUUUUAGGUGAAGCUUUUCGGGUGAAGCUUUUUUGGUGAAGCUUUUUGAAGGUGAAGCUUUUCGGGUGAAGCUUUUUGGGUGAAGCUUUUUUAGGUGAAGCUUUGAUGGUGAAGCUUUUGGGUGAAGCUUUUUAGGUGAAGCUUUUUAGGUGAAGCUUUGAUGGUGAAGCUUUUUGGGUGAAGCUUUUUAGGUGAAGCUUUGUGGGUGAAGCUUUGGAGGUGAAGCUUUUCGGGUGAAGCUUUUUUUGGAUGAAGCUUUGUUUUUUUUUUUUUUUUUUUUUUUUUUUUUUUUUUUUUUUUUUUUUUUUGGCGCUUGACACGGUCUUCAUUUGCU
Molecule: long non-coding RNA, 370 nt
Filed under: Malus domestica (apple)
Lineage: Eukaryota; Viridiplantae; Streptophyta; Magnoliopsida; Rosales; Rosaceae
Description: long non-coding RNA (MDOM_LNC007820)
Source: RNAcentral